UACGUAGGGCGCAAGCGUUGUUCGGAAUUACUGGGCGUAAAGGGCGCGCAGGCGGCUGCUCAAGUCAGGCGUGAAAGGCCUGGGCUCAACCCGGGAAUUGCGCUUGAGACUGGGCUGGCUUGAGUGCGGGAGAGGAUGGUGGAAUUCCCAGUGUAGAGGUGAAAUUCGUAGAUAUUGGGAAGAACACCGGUGGCGAAGGCGGUCUGCUGGGGUGAGGCUGACGCUGAUGCGCGACAGCGUGGGGAGCAAACAGG
This 254-nucleotide ribosomal RNA is filed under the name uncultured bacterium. RNAcentral describes it as "partial 16S ribosomal RNA". It matches the Rfam family "Bacterial small subunit ribosomal RNA", at positions 524 to 776 of the family's 1533-position model. The record is from RNAcentral.